GUGCUCGCUUCGGCAGCACAUAUAUUAAGA
RNAcentral lists this small nuclear RNA (30 nucleotides) under Cervus elaphus hippelaphus. Lineage: Eukaryota; Metazoa; Chordata; Mammalia; Artiodactyla; Cervidae. The record is from RNAcentral.